Molecule: unclassified non-coding RNA, 406 nt
Filed under: soil metagenome
Description: partial contains 5.8S ribosomal RNA, internal transcribed spacer 2, and large subunit ribosomal RNA
Rfam family: 5.8S ribosomal RNA (bases 1-121)
Source: RNAcentral
GAUGAAGAACGUAGCUAAAUGCGAUAAGUAAUGUGAAUUGCAGAAUUCAGUGAAUCAUCGAAUCUUUGAACGCACCUUGCGCCCUUUGGCCAUUCCGAAGGGCAUGCCUGUUUGAGUAUCAUGAACACCUCAACUCUUCAUGGUUUUCCAUGAUGAGCUUGGACUUUGGGGGUCUUGCUGGCCUGUGGGUCGGCUCCUCUCAAAUGAAUCAGCUUGCCGGUUUUUGGUGGGCAUCACAGGUGUGAUAACUAUCUACGCUUGUGGUUUUCCACCAGGGUAACCUUCAGCAGUGGAGGUUCACUGGAGCUUACAAAUGUCUCUCCUCUGUGAGGACAGCCCUUUGAAUGUUUGAUCUCAAAUCAGGUAGGACUACCCGCUGAACUUAAGCAUAUCAAUAAGCGGAGGA